Molecule: non-coding RNA, 21 nt
Filed under: Arabidopsis thaliana (thale cress)
Lineage: Eukaryota; Viridiplantae; Streptophyta; Magnoliopsida; Brassicales; Brassicaceae
Source: RNAcentral
UGGGAUACUAUUGCUUUCCAU